ACCCAAUGUGAACGUUACCAAACUGUUGCCUCGGCGGGGUCACGCCCCGGGUGCGUCGCAGCCCCGGAACCAGGCGCCCGCCGGAGGAACCAACCAAACUCUUUCUGUAGUCCCCUCGCGGACGUAUUUCUUUACAGCUCUGAGCAAAAAUUCAAAAUGAAUCAAAACUUUCAACAACGGAUCUCUUGGUUCUGGCAUCGAUGAAGAACGCAGCGAAAUGCGAUAAGUAAUGUGAAUUGCAGAAUUCAGUGAAUCAUCGAAUCUUUGAACGCACAUUGCGCCCGCCAGUAUUCUGGCGGGCAUGCCUGUCCGAGCGUCAUUUCAACCCUCGAACCCCUCCGGGGGAUCGGCGUUGGGGAUCGGGACCCCUCACACGGGUGCCGGCCCCUAAAUACAGUGGCGGUCUCGCCGCAGCCUCUCCUGCGCAGUAGUUUGCACAACUCGCACCGGGAGCGCGGCGCGUCCACGUCCGUAAAACACCCAACUUUCUGAAAUGUUGACCUCGGAUCAGGUAGGAAUACCCGCUGAACUUAAGCAUAUCAAUAAGCGGAGGAA
This 555-nucleotide ribosomal RNA is filed under the name Trichoderma asperellum. Its description in RNAcentral is "eukaryotic LSU rRNA". The stretch from base 166 to 319 matches the Rfam family "5.8S ribosomal RNA". Lineage: Eukaryota; Fungi; Ascomycota; Sordariomycetes; Hypocreales; Hypocreaceae. The record is from RNAcentral.